RNAcentral lists this ribosomal RNA (546 nucleotides) under Diplodia seriata. RNAcentral describes it as "eukaryotic LSU rRNA". It matches the Rfam family "Eukaryotic large subunit ribosomal RNA", at positions 87 to 648 of the family's 3401-position model. Lineage: Eukaryota; Fungi; Ascomycota; Dothideomycetes; Botryosphaeriales; Botryosphaeriaceae. The record is from RNAcentral.
CGGCGAGUGAAGCGGCAACAGCUCAAAUUUGAAAGCUGGCCCUUUCAGGGUCCGCAUUGUAAUUUGUAGAGGAUGAUUCGGCGAGGGCUCCCGCCUAAGUCCCCUGGAACGGGGCGUCAUAGAGGGUGAGAAUCCCGUAUGCGGUGGGCUGCCUUAGCCAUGUGAAUCUCCUUCGACGAGUCGAGUUGUUUGGGAAUGCAGCUCUAAAUGGGAGGUAAAUUUCUUCUAAAGCUAAAUACUGGCCAGAGACCGAUAGCGCACAAGUAGAGUGAUCGAAAGAUGAAAAGCACUUUGGAAAGAGAGUUAAAAAGUACGUGAAAUUGUUGAAAGGGAAGCGCUUGCAACCAGACUUGUCCGCAGUUGCUCAGCCGGUCUCCUGACCGGCGUACUCUUCUGCGGCCAGGCCAGCAUCAGUUCGGGCGGUCGGAUAAAGACCUCGGGAAUGUAGCUCCUCUCGGGGAGUGUUAUAGCCCGGGGUGGAAUGCGGCCAGCCUGGACUGAGGAUCUCGCUUCGGCAAGGAUGCUGGCGUAAUGGUUGUAAGCGGC